RNAcentral lists this ribosomal RNA (387 nucleotides) under uncultured bacterium. RNAcentral describes it as "bacterial SSU rRNA". It matches the Rfam family "Bacterial small subunit ribosomal RNA", at positions 28 to 417 of the family's 1533-position model. The record is from RNAcentral.
GACGAACGCUGGCGGCGUGCUUAACACAUGCAAGUCGAGCGGUAAGGCCCUUCGGGUACGACGAGCGGCGAACGGGUGGGUAACACGUGAGCAAUCUGCCCUUCUCAUCGGAAUAACCAUUGGAAACGAUGGCUAAUGCCGAAUAAUGACUCGGAUCACAUGUUCUGAGGUGGAAAGCUCCGGCGGAGAAGGAUGAGCUCGCGGCCUAUCAGCUUGUUGGUGAGGUAAUAGCUCACCAAGGCGAUGACGGGUAGCCGGCCUGAGAGGGUGACCGGCCACACUGGGACUGAGACACGGCCCAGACUCCUACGGGAGGCAGCAGUGGGGAAUAUUGGGACAAUGGGCGAAAGACCUGAUCCAGCAACGCCGCGUGAGGGAUGACGGCCU